CAAACGACUCUCGGCAACGGAUAUCUCGGCUCACGCAUCGAUGAAGAACGUAGCAAAGUGCGAUACUUGGUGUGAAUUGCAGAAUCCCGUGAACCAUCGAGUUUUUGAACGCAAGUUGCGCCCGAAGCCAUUCGGCUGAGGGCACGUCUGCCUGGGCGUCACAC
RNAcentral lists this ribosomal RNA (164 nucleotides) under Erigeron strigosus RDN-2005. Its description in RNAcentral is "5.8S ribosomal RNA". It matches the Rfam family "5.8S ribosomal RNA". From Rfam's summary of the family: 5.8S ribosomal RNA (5.8S rRNA) is a component of the large subunit of the eukaryotic ribosome. It is transcribed by RNA polymerase I as part of the 45S precursor that also contains 18S and 28S rRNA. Lineage: Eukaryota; Viridiplantae; Streptophyta; Magnoliopsida; Asterales; Asteraceae. The record is from RNAcentral.